This is a non-coding RNA of Xyrichtys novacula (pearly razorfish), 424 nucleotides long. Lineage: Eukaryota; Metazoa; Chordata; Actinopteri; Labriformes; Labridae. The record is from the annotation of a GenBank genome assembly.
CUCCCCCUCUGGCUGCACAUGAAAGCUGGCUGCUUCCCAUCAAAGCCUCACUCACCUUGUGGUCGAGAGGUUUCUGCUGUGGAGUCAUCACAGCUCUCAUAUAGCAGGUGCAAAAUCCAUAACAGCAGACACAUUUCUACCUGUUUUUAUGCUCUUGAAUACCAUCCUUUUUUAUUUCAUCCUCCAACCCUCUGACUUAACAACUAUUUGCCAUUUCUAUACUAUCUGAAACCUAUUUAUGCUAUACCCCCUCAGCAACAUGUCCUCUUUUUGCAGAAUUUUCUGCAUCACUCACCCUUCGGAAACACUGUGGGAGAGAAGGCUGGAAAAAAACGCACGCCAUCACAUGAAAAAGGCAGCUCCAAGAACAUCAAUAAUGUGUUUUCUCUGGUGGUGUUUGUGACCUCGGGGCAGAAGGCAAGGG